CAAUAGCGUAUAUUAAAGUUGUUGCAGUUAAAAAGCUCGUAGUUGGAUUUGUGGCGUACGACGGGCUCCGGGCACUUGUUGUCUGAGUAGCUUGUCGUUGCCAUCCUUGGGUGGAACCUGUGUGGCAUUAGGUUGUCGUACAGGGGAUGCCCAUCUUUUACUGUGAAAAAAUUAGAGUGUUCAAAGCAGGCUUAUGCCGUUGAAUAUAUUAGCAUGGAAUAAUAAGAUAGGACUUUGUCGCUAUUUUGUUGGUUUGCGCGAUAAGGUAAUGAUUAAUAGGGACAGUUGGGGGUAUUCGUAUUCCAUUGUCAGAGGUGAAAUUCUUGGAUUUUUGGAAGACGAACUACUGCGAAAGCAUUUACCAAGGAUGUUUUCAUUAA
This 380-nucleotide ribosomal RNA is filed under the name uncultured eukaryote. RNAcentral describes it as "partial 18S ribosomal RNA". It matches the Rfam family "Eukaryotic small subunit ribosomal RNA", at positions 592 to 976 of the family's 1831-position model. The record is from RNAcentral.